CAGUCGCCGCGGGAAUACGAAGGGGGCUAGCGUUGUUCGGAAUUACUGGGCGUAAAGCGCACGUAGGCGGACAUUUAAGUCAGGGGUGAAAUCCCGGGGCUCAACCCCGGAACUGCCUUUGAUACUGGGUGUCUAGAGUAUGGAAGAGGUGAGUGGAAUUCCGAGUGUAGAGGUGAAAUUCGUAGAUAUUCGGAGGAACACCAGUGGCGAAGGCGGCUCACUGGUCCAUUACUGACGCUGAGGUGCGAAAGCGUGGGGAGCAAACAGGAUUAGAUACCCCCGUAGUCCCUGUCUCUUAUAC
RNAcentral lists this ribosomal RNA (301 nucleotides) under uncultured bacterium. RNAcentral's name for it is "partial 16S ribosomal RNA". It matches the Rfam family "Bacterial small subunit ribosomal RNA", at positions 509 to 807 of the family's 1533-position model. The record is from RNAcentral.